UUAAGUGAAUAAGGGCGCACGGUGGAUGCCUUGGCACUAGGAGCCGAUGAAGGACGGGACUAACACCGAUAUGCUUUGGGGAGCUGUAAGUAAGCUAUGAUCCAGAGAUUUCCGAAUGGGGAAACCCAGCAUCUUUUAUAGGAUGUUACGUCUGCGUGAAUACAUAGCGCAGUCGAGGUAGACGCAGAGAACUGAAACAUCUAAGUACCUGCAGGAAGAGAAAGAAAAUUCGAUUCCCUGAGUAGCGGCGAGCGAAACGGGAAAAGCCCAAACCAACAAGCUUGCUUGUUGGGGUUGUAGGACUCCGAUAUGGUAGUCUAUUCAGAUAGUCGAAAUACUUGGAAAAGUAUGUCAAAGAGGGUAAAAACCCCGUAGGCGAAAUUUGGAUAACACCUAGGAGGAUCCUGAGUACGGCGGAACACGAGGAAUUCCGUCGGAAUCCGGGAGGACCAUCUCCCAAGGCUAAAUACUCCCUAGUGACCGAUAGUGAACCAGUACCGUGAGGGAAAGGUGAAAAGCACCCCGGAAGGGGAGUGAAAUAGAUCCUGAAACCGUGUGCCUACAACAAGUUAGAGCCCGUUAAUGGGUGAUAGCGUGCCUUUUGUAGAAUGAACCGGCGAGUUACGAUAGCAUGCGAGGUUAAGUUGAAGAGACGGAGCCGUAGCGAAAGCAAGUCUGAAUAGGGCGAAUGAGUAUGUUGUCGUAGACCCGAAACCAUGUGAUCUACCCAUGUCCAGGUUGAAGGUGCGGUAAAACGCACUGGAGGACCGAACCCACGUACGUUGAAAAGUGCGGGGAUGAGGUGUGGGUAGCGGAGAAAUUCCAAACGAACUUGGAGAUAGCUGGUUCUCUCCGAAAUAGCUUUAGGGCUAGCCUCGGAAUUGAGAAUGAUGGAGGUAGAGCACUGUUUGGACUAGGGGCCCAUCUCGGGUUACCGAAUUCAGAUAAACUCCGAAUGCCAUUCAUUCAUAUCCGGGAGUCAGACUGUGAGUGAUAAGAUCCAUAGUCGAAAGGGAAACAGCCCAGACCACCAGCUAAGGUCCCCAAAUAACUAUUAAGUGGAAAAGGAUGUGGGGUUGCACAGACAACUAGGAUGUUGGCUUAGAAGCAGCCACCAUUUAAAGAGUGCGUAAUAGCUCACUAGUCGAGUGACCCUGCGCCGAAAAUGUACCGGGGCUAAAUAGUUUACCGAAGCUGUGGAGUGCACCAUAAGGUGCAUUGGUAGGAGAGCGUUCUAAGGGCGUUGAAGGUAGAUCGUGAGGACUACUGGAGCGCUUAGAAGUGAGAAUGCCGGUAUGAGUAGCGAAAGACAGGCGAGAAUCCUGUCCACCGAAUGACUAAGGUUUCCUGGGGAAGGCUCGUCCGCCCAGGGUUAGUCGGGACCUAAGCCGAGGCCGACAGGCGUAGGCGAUGGACAACAGGUUGAUAUUCCUGUACCCGUUGUUUUUGUUUGAGCAAUGGAGGGACGCAGGAGGCUAAGAAGUGCAGACUGAUGGAUAUGUCUGUUCAAGCAGUAAGUCUUGGUAGGAGUCAAAUGCUUCUACCUAUACGGACAAGCUGUGAUGAGGAGGGAAAUAAUAGUACCGAAGCUUCUGAUGUCACACUGCCAAGAAAAGCUUCUAGUGAGAAAACAACGGCCCGUACCGCAAACCGACACAGGUAGUCGAGGAGAGAAUCCUAAGGUGAGCGAGAGAACUCUCGUUAAGGAACUCGGCAAAAUGACCCCGUAACUUCGGGAGAAGGGGUGCUGCUCUAACGAGCAGCCGCAGUGAAUAGGCCCAAGCGACUGUUUAUCAAAAACACAGGUCUCUGCAAAAUCGAAAGAUGACGUAUAGGGGCUGACGCCUGCCCGGUGCUGGAAGGUUAAGAGGAGUGCUUAGCGUAAGCGAAGGUACGAAUUGAAGCCCCAGUAAACCGGCGGCCGUAACUAUAACGGUCCUAAGGUAGCGAAAUUCCUUGUCGGGUAAGUUCCGACCCGCACGAAAGGCGUAACGAUUUGGGGCACUGUCUCAACGAGAGACUCGGUGAAAUUUUAGUACCUGUGAAGAUGCAGGUUACCCGCGACAGGACGGAAAGACCCCAUGGAGCUUUACUGUAGUUUGAUAUUGAGUGUCUGUACCGCAUGUACAGGAUAGGUAGGAGCCGUAGAGAUCGGGACGCCAGUUUCGAUGGAGGCAAUGGUGGGAUACUACC
RNAcentral lists this ribosomal RNA (2193 nucleotides) under Enterococcus casseliflavus. RNAcentral's name for it is "23S ribosomal RNA". It matches the Rfam family "Bacterial large subunit ribosomal RNA", at positions 1 to 2204 of the family's 2925-position model. The record is from RNAcentral. Lineage: Bacteria; Bacillati; Bacillota; Bacilli; Lactobacillales; Enterococcaceae.